UCAUUGAUGGUUCAGUGGCAAAAUUCUCGCCUGUCACGCGGACGACCUGGGUUCGACUCUCGGUCGGUGCA
Molecule: non-coding RNA, 71 nt
Organism: Parelaphostrongylus tenuis
Lineage: Eukaryota; Metazoa; Nematoda; Chromadorea; Rhabditida; Metastrongylidae
Source: the annotation of a GenBank genome assembly